RNAcentral lists this transfer RNA (68 nucleotides) under uncultured Longimonas sp. It matches the Rfam family "tRNA". From Rfam's summary of the family: Transfer RNA (tRNA) molecules are approximately 80 nucleotides in length. Their secondary structure includes four short double-helical elements and three loops (D, anti-codon, and T loops). Further hydrogen bonds mediate the characteristic L-shaped molecular structure. tRNAs have two regions of fundamental functional importance: the anti-codon, which is responsible for specific mRNA codon recognition, and the 3' end, to which the tRNAs corresponding amino acid is attached (by aminoacyl-tRNA synthetases). tRNAs cope with the degeneracy of the genetic code in two manners: having more than one tRNA (with a specific anti-codon) for a particular amino acid; and 'wobble' base-pairing, i.e. permitting non-standard base-pairing at the 3rd anti-codon position. Lineage: Bacteria; Pseudomonadati; Rhodothermota; Rhodothermia; Rhodothermales; Salisaetaceae. The record is from RNAcentral.
GGGAGUAGCUCAAUUGGUAGAGCAUCAGCCUUCCAAGCUGAGGGUCGCGGGUUCGAGUCCCGUCUCCC